RNAcentral lists this transfer RNA (77 nucleotides) under bacterium. Its description in RNAcentral is "tRNA-Met". It matches the Rfam family "tRNA". Rfam says of the family: Transfer RNA (tRNA) molecules are approximately 80 nucleotides in length. Their secondary structure includes four short double-helical elements and three loops (D, anti-codon, and T loops). Further hydrogen bonds mediate the characteristic L-shaped molecular structure. tRNAs have two regions of fundamental functional importance: the anti-codon, which is responsible for specific mRNA codon recognition, and the 3' end, to which the tRNAs corresponding amino acid is attached (by aminoacyl-tRNA synthetases). tRNAs cope with the degeneracy of the genetic code in two manners: having more than one tRNA (with a specific anti-codon) for a particular amino acid; and 'wobble' base-pairing, i.e. permitting non-standard base-pairing at the 3rd anti-codon position. RNAcentral also lists the same sequence under 2 other names. The record is from RNAcentral.
CGCGGGGUGGAGCAGUCUGGUAGCUCGCAGGGCUCAUAACCCUGAGGUCGGAGGUUCGAAUCCUUCCCCCGCUACCA